Molecule: small RNA, 38 nt
Filed under: Arabidopsis thaliana (thale cress)
Lineage: Eukaryota; Viridiplantae; Streptophyta; Magnoliopsida; Brassicales; Brassicaceae
Description: ATSL005380
Source: RNAcentral
UACAAAUUCAUUACAAGGAUCGUCCACGUGCUUGUUUA